Molecule: ribosomal RNA, 1010 nt
Filed under: Bacillus amyloliquefaciens
Lineage: Bacteria; Bacillati; Bacillota; Bacilli; Caryophanales; Bacillaceae
Description: bacterial SSU rRNA
Rfam family: Bacterial small subunit ribosomal RNA
Source: RNAcentral
CAAGUCGAGCGGACAGAUGGAGCUGCUCCUGAUGUUAGCGGCGGACGGGGUGAGUAACACGUGGGUAACCUGCCUGUAAGACUGGGAUAACUCCGGGAAACCGGGGCUAAUACCGGAUGCUUGUUUGAACCGCAUGGUUCAGACAUAAAAGGUGGCUUCGGCUACCACUUACAGAUGGACCCGCGGCGCAUUAGCUAGUUGGUGAGGUAACGGCUCACCAAGGCRACGAUGCGUAGCCGACCUGAGAGGGUGAUCGGCCACACUGGGACUGAGACACGGCCCAGACUCCUACGGGAGGCAGCAGUAGGGAAUCUUCCGCAAUGGACGAAAGUCUGACGGAGCAACGCCGCGUGAGUGAUGAAGGUUUUCGGAUCGUAAAGCUCUGUUGUUAGGGAAGAACAAGUGCCGUUCAAAUAGGGCGGCACCUUGACGGUACCUAACCAGAAAGCCACGGCUAACUACGUGCCAGCAGCCGCGGUAAUACGUAGGUGGCAAGCGUUGUCCGGAAUUAUUGGGCGUAAAGGGCUCGCAGGCGGUUUCUUAAGUCUGAUGUGAAAGCCCCCGGCUCAACCGGGGAGGGUCAUUGGAAACUGGGGAACUUGAGUGCAGAAGAGGAGAGUGGAAUUCCACGUGUAGCGGUGAAAUGCGUAGAGAUGUGGAGGAACACCAGUGGCGAAGGCGACUCUCUGGUCUGUAACUGACGCUGAGGAGCGAAAGCGUGGGGAGCGAACAGGAUUAGAUACCCUGGUAGUCCACGCCGUAAACGAUGAGUGCUAAGUGUUAGGGGGUUUCCGCCCCUUAGUGCUGCAGCUAACGCAUUAAGCACUCCGCCUGGGGAGUACGGUCGCAAGACUGAAACUCAAAGGAAUUGACGGGGGCCCGCACAAGCGGUGGAGCAUGUGGUUUAAUUCGAAGCAACGCGAAGAACCUUACCAGGUCUUGACAUCCUCUGACAAUCCUAGAGAUAGGACGUCCCCUUCGGGGGCAGAGUGACAGGUGGUGCAUGGUGU